Molecule: unclassified non-coding RNA, 90 nt
Filed under: Pseudomonas mediterranea
Lineage: Bacteria; Pseudomonadati; Pseudomonadota; Gammaproteobacteria; Pseudomonadales; Pseudomonadaceae
Source: RNAcentral
GUGGGAGCAAAGCUUGCUCGCGAUUGACGUAAGUCUGCCAGCAACAGUUUUGGCUGGUCUGCCGCUAUCGCGAGCAAGCUUUGCUCCCAC